UACGAAGGGGGCUAGCGUUGCUCGGAAUCACUGGGCGUAAAGGGCGCGUAGGCGGCCAUUCAAGCCGGAGGUGAAAGCCCAGGGCUCAACCCUGGAAUUGCCUUCGAUACUGUCUGGCUAGAGACCGGAAGAGGUAAGUGGAACUGCGAGUGUAGAGGUGAAAUUCGUAGAUAUUCGCAAGAACACCAGUGGCGAAGGCGGCUUACUGGUCCGGUUCUGACGCUGAGGCGCGAAAGCGUGGGGAGCAAACAGG
RNAcentral lists this ribosomal RNA (253 nucleotides) under uncultured bacterium. RNAcentral describes it as "partial 16S ribosomal RNA". It matches the Rfam family "Bacterial small subunit ribosomal RNA", at positions 524 to 776 of the family's 1533-position model. The record is from RNAcentral.